This 406-nucleotide ribosomal RNA is filed under the name uncultured bacterium. RNAcentral's name for it is "partial 16S ribosomal RNA". It matches the Rfam family "Bacterial small subunit ribosomal RNA", at positions 29 to 526 of the family's 1533-position model. The record is from RNAcentral.
AUUGAACGCUGGCGGCAGGCCUAACACAUGCAAGUCGAACGAGUGGAGGACGGGUGAGUAAUGCUUGGGAAUCUGGCUUAUGGAGGGGUAUAACGACGGGAAACUGUCGCUAAUGCCGCGUACCGUAGGAUGGGCCCAAGUGGGAGUAGGUAGUUGGUGGGGUAAUGGCCCACCAAGCCGACGAUCUCUAGCUGGUCUGAGAGGAUGACCAGCCACACCGGGACUGAGACACGGCCCGGACUCCUACGGGAGGCAGCAGUGGGGAAUAUUGCGCAAUGGGGGCAACCCUGACGCAGCCAUGCCGCGUGAGUGAAGAAGGCCUUCGGGUUGUAAAGCACUUUCAGCGGGGAGGCGUUACCCGCAGAAGAAGCACCGGCUAACUCCGUGCCAGCAGCCGCGGUAAUUC